This 502-nucleotide ribosomal RNA is filed under the name uncultured bacterium. RNAcentral describes it as "partial 16S ribosomal RNA". It matches the Rfam family "Bacterial small subunit ribosomal RNA", at positions 355 to 837 of the family's 1533-position model. The record is from RNAcentral.
UGGGGAAUUUUGGACAAUGGGCGAAAGCCUGAUCCAGCAAUGCCGCGUGUGUGAAGAAGGCCUUCGGGUUGUAAAGCACUUUUUGUCCGGAAAGAAAUCCUCUGGGGUUAAUACCUCGGGGGGAUGACGGUACCGGAAGAAUAAGCACCGGCUAACUACGUGCCAGCAGCCGCGGUAAUACGUAGGGUGCAAGCGUUAAUCGGAAUUACUGGGCGUAAAGCGUGCGCAGGCGGUUUUGUAAGACGGAUGUGAAAUCCCCGGGCUUAACCUGGGAACUGCAUUCGUGACUGCAAGGCUAGAGUAUGGCAGAGGGGGGUAGAAUUCCACGUGUAGCAGUGAAAUGCGUAGAGAUGUGGAGGAAUACCGAUGGCGAAGGCAGCCCCCUGGGCCAAAUACCUGACGCUCAUGCACGAAAGCGUGGGGGAGCAAAACAGGGAUUUAGAUACCCCUGGGUAGUCCACGCCCCUAAAACGAUGUCAACUAGUUGUUGGGGGAUUCAUUU